AUGGAUCCCAGCAGCUUCAAAAUUGGAGGCCUUCUGCUUCCAACCAUUGAGAGGCGUUGCGCUUCGCCUCCAUCUGUCAUCGUGAUUGGUGGCGGAAUCUCAGGGAUUGCCGCGGCUCAUGUCCUCUCCAAUUCCUCUUUUGAGGUGACUGUCCUUGAGUCGAGAGAUCGAAUUGGUGGCCAUGUUCAUAUGGAUUACUCCUUUGGAUGCCCCAUCGACAUGGGAGCCUCAUGGUUGCACAGUGUCGGUAAUGAUAAUUCUUUAGCACCAUUGAUUGGCCAUCUUGGGCUGAUAUUAUAUCACACAAGUGGAGACAAUUUUGUUCUGUAUGACCAUGUUUUGGAAAGAUGUUCCCUCUUCGAUAAGAACGGCCUUGCAGUCCCAAUGGAGACAGCUGCUAAAUUUGGCGUGAUAUUCGAGAAAAUUCUUAAGGAGUCGGUGAAACCCCGCGAUGAGCAGGAACACGACAUGCGCCUUGAACAGGCAAUUUCAAUGGUGCUUGAGAGGCACCCUGAUCUCAAGUAUGUAUAA
RNAcentral lists this ribosomal RNA (531 nucleotides) under Triticum aestivum (bread wheat). RNAcentral's name for it is "partial small subunit ribosomal RNA". The record is from RNAcentral. Lineage: Eukaryota; Viridiplantae; Streptophyta; Magnoliopsida; Poales; Poaceae.